Molecule: long non-coding RNA, 9563 nt
Filed under: Brassica napus (rape)
Lineage: Eukaryota; Viridiplantae; Streptophyta; Magnoliopsida; Brassicales; Brassicaceae
Description: long non-coding RNA (BNAP_LNC000359)
Source: RNAcentral
AGGGUUUCGUUUGGAAUCUAGUAGGAGGGCCCAGGCAUGGUCUUCUGGAAGGGACAUACGCUAACUUGCGGGAUUUUGCAAACUUUAGGUAAGUGAGUAGCUGUCUGGUAGAUACGGCUCACCAUUUGCUGCUUUCCUUGCUGUUGUCCCUGUUGCUGAAUUUGUUGUUUAACCGCUUUGGAUGCUCCUUUCAAGGUUGGGCAAACGCAAAGGGGCUCUUCCUGGUGGAGCUCGUUACAGCACUGCUGGAGUAGAGGCGGUCUCUGCUGUGGACCCUGGGGGUUCUCCAUGUCGUCUUCAAAGUCAAACUCACCGUCGAGGGUCCAGCUAGGACCACUGCCAGACUGCAUUGCUUGCUUGUGGAGCCACUGCUGGCAAGCUUUUAGGUGUUGUGCUUGCUGAAACUCCUUCCUACAUUUUGGAAUCCUAAAUGGGCCGGCUGGGUUUGUUGCAUCAUCUUCGUCGAACUCGACCACCGUCCGGUAGAUGGAGGCAUUGGUGAGAAGGAAGAAGAAGGCGAGAGUUGCCGAGACGAGGAAGAGCUUGUUCGCCAUUAGUGUAUGUUUUUAAUCUUGUUUGUAUUGAUGAGUUUUGGUUUGAGUAAAGAGUUAAGCGGAUGAGUUAAUUUAUAGGUGAUAAAGGAGAUUUGCAUGGCGAUCACGUGUAAUAAUGCAUGCACGCAUGUGAUUGUAUGUGUGUGCUGUGAGAGAGAAGCUCUUAGGUGUUUGAAGGGAGUGACAAGUGACGAACAAAAACAAUCCUCCGCGUCUGCAUGCUUUGUGUAACGUGUAGCUAAUGUUCUGGCAUGGCAUCUUAUGAGCGAUUCUUUUUAAAAACAAGGUAAAAACUUAACUUCAUAAAUUAAAAAAAAAACGUUUAGUAAGUUGGUUUAAAAGGGGACGAGAGUCUAAAAAUUUUGGAGGUAGUGCCGUUGGGAAUAUAAAUUGGGAGAGCUUAAUCAGAAUUAUAGAAGUUAAAGUUGAUUUAGUCACGGUCAAUAUAAAUUGGGAAUUUGAGUCAAAAUCUUCCAAAUUCGGAAUCCGUCUUGUUACACCCGGUGGUAGGAGCCGAACGGUUUGAAAAUACUUGAAAUGUGGAUGUACAGGCUGGUUUAAUUUUAUGUUGAAUGGAUACAUGUCAAUCGAAUUAUAGGUACACAUUUUACUCUAAUACUAAAAUGUAACAUUUGUCUCAUCCUUACUCAAGAAUGGUAGCUCAUCCUUACUCGAGAACGGUAUGCCAGUCACUUUAACGUAUAUCUCAUGAAACUCAACUCUAACACUUAUUUCAUACCCAUAUCUAAAAUAAAGAAAACUGAAGAAAAACGGUCAAUAGCAUCAAUCCUUACAAAUAUAAUGCACUUGGAAACCUCACAUGAAAAUAACAAUAAAGAGGAGGUGAAUAAUAUAAGUAGUCCGAAAUGAAGUCUAUGGACUUAGAAAUAACAUUCCAAAUAUAUAUAAUUUAAUCAUAACAUGAAACAAACACAACACCUGAAAUGACAUAGAACAAAUUAGGGACCUAGUUAUAAGAUAAAGACUGGCACACCUCUUUUUUUUUUUGUUCAACUACUGGCACACCUCUAAUAGAAGCUUUCCCUAUGGAGGAUUCAUGUAUGUGACUAGAACCCACACACCGCCCGAAAACGCUUUCUUUAUUGACCUCAUUUACUACAGCUCAACCUGUCGACUUAGCGAAGAGGAAGAGCAAAGAUCAAGCUAACUAAAUUAGGGCUCUUGUUUGAUGAAACUGAAUGAAUGAAUCGAGAGAUGAAUGAGAUCUUCAUAAGCGAAUUAAGAAUCGACAAGGAAAGUUGCCCAAUAAAUAUUUGACAUUUCUUAAUUUUAAGGCCAAUUGGGCCAGUAACAUAUGGUAUUUUGACAGAUAUAUAGAUCCCAGAAUAAAUACUGAAUCAGCAAAAAUGAAAUCAGAGAGCUAAACGCUGAAGAAUCCACAUCUGCGUUCAAACAGUUCAUCCUUUACCUCAAAUAAACAAACUGCCAAAUCUUUUAAAUAUCUCAAACGUAAACAAAAUAUGAAAAAGAGUCUUUGGGACAAACAAAUCAAAAUGGUCUUGACAGCAUAUUGACCCUUGUAUGAUUGAAAGCCACUGAGACCCUCCUGCCAUUAACACAUCAAAUCUUAUAGACACACUUUGAGAAAAUAAAAAUCGUGAGGCCAUCUCAGUGUUAGUGACUCGCCAUGAAGUAAAGGCAUACCAGGAGAGUUUUGUCAAAAAGACAUAAGCUUAUUAGAUAAUUGGAGGGUUUAACUCUUAUAUAUCAUGUGCAGAAUUUAAUUGGUCAACAAAGCAAAUGGAACCAUCCGAUAGAUGUUUUAAAGAACAAGAGGUACAUUUGUAUAUAUGCAUUGGUUGAUACGUUUCUGCCAUCUGAAUUGCUUCUUCCUCAAAGAAGAAGCAAUCACCGAUGAAUGCUAAAGGAUUCAGGUCUAUAUUUGGCUUCUACUAGGCUUGUCUCUACAGUAGACUUUAUUCACAAAUGCAAACAACUUCAAGCAAGGCAAGUGACAGGACAGAUAAUGCUUAGAGAAAGAGAAACCGUUGAAAAGAAGCAGAAAGCACAACUCCCUUCGACUAAUUAAUCUAGGAUUUGCACUGACCAUAUUACUUCAAAGAUAGUUCCAUUUCAAGAAACAUAAACAGAACUUGAAUGAGAAAAAUCUAUGAUCAAAUUCAAAGGGAAAUUUGCAAGAGUACAAAGACAGAUUCAGCAGCACCUAGAAAACCCCAAUUGAUCUGCGUAAAAUCCCAAUUCUCUCUUCUGUUUACAAAAAAAAAUCACGAUCCACACUCUUUUUUGAUUUUCAAAUCAAAACAAAUAAUCAGCCCUGAAUUAUACAGUAAAAUCCCGAUCAAAACGGGUUAAUAAUUUUAUGAAAUAAUACAAAAAAAAAGAAACAGAUUGAGAUCGGCAAAACCUCGAUCAAUCAAUCAAUCAAUCAAACAACAUCGUCCUUCUUGGGUUUCCGAUAAUUCUCUUCGAUGUGCUCGAGGAUGACGCGAACAGUGUUCGUCAGCUUCUUUACAUCGGGAACGUUGUAAUUCUGUGCAACGUAUACACCAUAAGCCGUUCCCAUCGUGAACACCAAGCAGCUCUUCAUUAUCCCCAUCCCCCUCUCUACGCUCCGUACUAGUGUUCUAUUUGCACUUGUACUAUGAUACUUUAAUGGGCCUUCAAUAUUUAUUUCUAAGGCCCAUAGUGGGCCCAAAUCAAAUGAAACCGGCAUGCUCAUUUCCGUUGGUAGACAGAUUAAGAUUAAGGGCCAGAUUGGUUCAAAUGCAGCGGUUGCGGUUGCGGAAGUUUGUGGAUGCGGACGGUUGCAGUUUCUAGCGGUUUUAAGAGAUUUGUACGACUGGUAGUGCGGUUAAAUAUUGGUGCGUUUGCGGGUGACUUAUGACUGGUUAACUACCAAAUGCGGUAACAGUCAAAUAAUAAAUUAACAAUAUUUAUAUUUAAUAUAAUUAUAAAAAUAUCAAAAAGUCAUAAAAUUAUAAUAAAUAUAAAAUUUAUAUUUAGAAAGUUAUAAUUUUAAUUAUUAAAAAUUUAUUAAAAUUGUUUUUAUUAUAAAAUUUUAUAAUAUUAAUUAAAAUAUAAUAGAUAUAUUUUAAUAUUUUCAUAAUUUCAAUUUUAUAUUUAAAAUAAAUAACUAAAGUUUGCUAUCCGAAAAAACUAUCGUUUGCUUUAUUCAAUUGUUUAUUUAAUAUGCCAUUUAAUUUAAUAUUUAAGAUAAAAGAGACCAAAUUUAUCAGAAAUGGUAAGUAAACCGUCCUAUCUUUAAAUUGGGCAAAUUAAUUGCUAUUAAAAUCCAAAAACAAAAAUUAGUAAAAAACUCAGAUUUGAACCCACUACCUGAAGCACUAGAGAACGAGUACGCAAACCCUACAAUGAUCAAGUUGUAAAUAUUUGUCACCCCAAAAUUAUAUAUAAAUUCUGGUGCCUAAAGCGUUUGCUUUGCGGGCUUUAGCCCAUGGCCCGGCCUGUGUACGAGUUAAGAUGAUUGAUCAAGUAAAUUAAACAUUAAGAGCCUCUCUUUUAUUAUGGAGUAGUGCUAAUUUUACAUUAGCCUCAAACAUCCUAGAUAAAACCUUACAUAUUAUUAUGAAACACGCGAUGAGGUGUGGUGUUGACAUAUAUCGACAACCACAUUCAUACACUCGAGGGUUUCGUUUGGAAUCUAGUAGGAGGGCCCAGGCAUGGUCUUCUGGAAGGGACAUACGCUAACUUGCGGGAUUUUGCAAACUUUAGGUAAGUGAGUAGCUGUCUGGUAGAUACGGCUCACCAUUUGCUGCUUUCCUUGCUGUUGUCCCUGUUGUUGAAUUUGUUGUUUAACCGCUUUGGAUGCUCCUUUCAAGGUUGGGCAAACGCAAAGGGGCUCUUCCUGGUGGAGCUCGUUACAGCACUGCUGGAGUAGAGGCGGUCUCUGCUGUGGACCCUGGGGGUUCUCCAUGUCGUCUUCAAAGUCAAACUCACCGUCGAGGGUCCAGCUAGGACCACUGCCAGACUGCAUUGCUUGCUUGUGGAGCCACUGCUGGCAAGCUUUUAGGUGUUGUGCUUGCUGAAACUCCUUCCUACAUUUUGGAAUCCUAAAUGGGCCGGCUGGGUUUGUUGCAUCAUCUUCGUCGAACUCGACCACCGUCCGGUAGAUGGAGGCAUUGGUGAGAAGGAAGAAGAAGGCGAGAGUUGCCGAGACGAGGAAGAGCUUGUUCGCCAUUAGUGUAUGUUUUUAAUCUUGUUUGUAUUGAUGAGUUUUGGUUUGAGUAAAGAGUUAAGCGGAUGAGUUAAUUUAUAGGUGAUAAAGGAGAUUUGCAUGGCGAUCACGUGUAAUAAUGCAUGCACGCAUGUGAUUGUAUGUGUGUGCUGUGAGAGAGAAGCUCUUAGGUGUUUGAAGGGAGUGACAAGUGACGAACAAAAACAAUCCUCCGCGUCUGCAUGCUUUGUGUAACGUGUAGCUAAUGUUCUGGCAUGGCAUCUUAUGAGCGAUUCUUUUUAAAAACAAGGUAAAAACUUAACUUCAUAAAUUAAAAAAAAAACGUUUAGUAAGUUGGUUUAAAAGGGGACGAGAGUCUAAAAAUUUUGGAGGUAGUGCCGUUGGGAAUAUAAAUUGGGAGAGCUUAAUCAGAAUUAUAGAAGUUAAAGUUGAUUUAGUCACGGUCAAUAUAAAUUGGGAAUUUGAGUCAAAAUCUUCCAAAUUCGGAAUCCGUCUUGUUACACCCGGUGGUAGGAGCCGAACGGUUUGAAAAUACUUGAAAUGUGGAUGUACAGGCUGGUUUAAUUUUAUGUUGAAUGGAUACAUGUCAAUCGAAUUAUAGGUACACAUUUUACUCUAAUACUAAAAUGUAACAUUUGUCUCAUCCUUACUCAAGAAUGGUAGCUCAUCCUUACUCGAGAACGGUAUGCCAGUCACUUUAACGUAUAUCUCAUGAAACUCAACUCUAACACUUAUUUCAUACCCAUAUCUAAAAUAAAGAAAACUGAAGAAAAACGGUCAAUAGCAUCAAUCCUUACAAAUAUAAUGCACUUGGAAACCUCACAUGAAAAUAACAAUAAAGAGGAGGUGAAUAAUAUAAGUAGUCCGAAAUGAAGUCUAUGGACUUAGAAAUAACAUUCCAAAUAUAUAUAAUUUAAUCAUAACAUGAAACAAACACAACACCUGAAAUGACAUAGAACAAAUUAGGGACCUAGUUAUAAGAUAAAGACUGGCACACCUCUUUUUUUUUUUGUUCAACUACUGGCACACCUCUAAUAGAAGCUUUCCCUAUGGAGGAUUCAUGUAUGUGACUAGAACCCACACACCGCCCGAAAACGCUUUCUUUAUUGACCUCAUUUACUACAGCUCAACCUGUCGACUUAGCGAAGAGGAAGAGCAAAGAUCAAGCUAACUAAAUUAGGGCUCUUGUUUGAUGAAACUGAAUGAAUGAAUCGAGAGAUGAAUGAGAUCUUCAUAAGCGAAUUAAGAAUCGACAAGGAAAGUUGCCCAAUAAAUAUUUGACAUUUCUUAAUUUUAAGGCCAAUUGGGCCAGUAACAUAUGGUAUUUUGACAGAUAUAUAGAUCCCAGAAUAAAUACUGAAUCAGCAAAAAUGAAAUCAGAGAGCUAAACGCUGAAGAAUCCACAUCUGCGUUCAAACAGUUCAUCCUUUACCUCAAAUAAACAAACUGCCAAAUCUUUUAAAUAUCUCAAACGUAAACAAAAUAUGAAAAAGAGUCUUUGGGACAAACAAAUCAAAAUGGUCUUGACAGCAUAUUGACCCUUGUAUGAUUGAAAGCCACUGAGACCCUCCUGCCAUUAACACAUCAAAUCUUAUAGACACACUUUGAGAAAAUAAAAAUCGUGAGGCCAUCUCAGUGUUAGUGACUCGCCAUGAAGUAAAGGCAUACCAGGAGAGUUUUGUCAAAAAGACAUAAGCUUAUUAGAUAAUUGGAGGGUUUAACUCUUAUAUAUCAUGUGCAGAAUUUAAUUGGUCAACAAAGCAAAUGGAACCAUCCGAUAGAUGUUUUAAAGAACAAGAGGUACAUUUGUAUAUAUGCAUUGGUUGAUACGUUUCUGCCAUCUGAAUUGCUUCUUCCUCAAAGAAGAAGCAAUCACCGAUGAAUGCUAAAGGAUUCAGGUCUAUAUUUGGCUUCUACUAGGCUUGUCUCUACAGUAGACUUUAUUCACAAAUGCAAACAACUUCAAGCAAGGCAAGUGACAGGACAGAUAAUGCUUAGAGAAAGAGAAACCGUUGAAAAGAAGCAGAAAGCACAACUCCCUUCGACUAAUUAAUCUAGGAUUUGCACUGACCAUAUUACUUCAAAGAUAGUUCCAUUUCAAGAAACAUAAACAGAACUUGAAUGAGAAAAAUCUAUGAUCAAAUUCAAAGGGAAAUUUGCAAGAGUACAAAGACAGAUUCAGCAGCACCUAGAAAACCCCAAUUGAUCUGCGUAAAAUCCCAAUUCUCUCUUCUGUUUACAAAAAAAAAUCACGAUCCACACUCUUUUUUGAUUUUCAAAUCAAAACAAAUAAUCAGCCCUGAAUUAUACAGUAAAAUCCCGAUCAAAACGGGUUAAUAAUUUUAUGAAAUAAUACAAAAAAAAAGAAACAGAUUGAGAUCGGCAAAACCUCGAUCAAUCAAUCAAUCAAUCAAACAACAUCGUCCUUCUUGGGUUUCCGAUAAUUCUCUUCGAUGUGCUCGAGGAUGACGCGAACAGUGUUCGUCAGCUUCUUUACAUCGGGAACGUUGUAAUUCUGUGCAACGUAUACACCAUAAGCCGUUCCCAUCGUGAACACCAAGCAGCUCUUCAUUAUCCCCAUCCCCCUCUCUACGCUCCGUACUAGUGUUCUAUUUGCACUUGUACUAUGAUACUUUAAUGGGCCUUCAAUAUUUAUUUCUAAGGCCCAUAGUGGGCCCAAAUCAAAUGAAACCGGCAUGCUCAUUUCCGUUGGUAGACAGAUUAAGAUUAAGGGCCAGAUUGGUUCAAAUGCAGCGGUUGCGGUUGCGGAAGUUUGUGGAUGCGGACGGUUGCAGUUUCUAGCGGUUUUAAGAGAUUUGUACGACUGGUAGUGCGGUUAAAUAUUGGUGCGUUUGCGGGUGACUUAUGACUGGUUAACUACCAAAUGCGGUAACAGUCAAAUAAUAAAUUAACAAUAUUUAUAUUUAAUAUAAUUAUAAAAAUAUCAAAAAGUCAUAAAAUUAUAAUAAAUAUAAAAUUUAUAUUUAGAAAGUUAUAAUUUUAAUUAUUAAAAAUUUAUUAAAAUUGUUUUUAUUAUAAAAUUUUAUAAUAUUAAUUAAAAUAUAAUAGAUAUAUUUUAAUAUUUUCAUAAUUUCAAUUUUAAUUUUUUUAUUAAAUAUUUUUACUUUUGUAUAUAUAUUGUUUAAAAAAAAAGAGAAAAAAUUAUCCUCCCGCAACCGCAAACGCUAGCUGGAGCCAACUUUUGAAUUUAUGAGAUUCAGAGCGGUUUGAAGUGGUUUAGAGCGAUUUGAGUGAUUGUUGCAAACCGCCGACAACCGCUACCAACCGCAAAAGCUGCGUUUGCGGGUGGUAGCGGGAAAACCAGUCACCCCAUCUUCUCGGUUCCUGAAAUCUUGUCUCUUUACUUGGGAUUUAAGACAUGAUCGACUGAUAGACAGAUUAAAUCUUCUCGGUUUGAUGCGUAUGUGAGACAUCUGUUUUUGAUGGUUGUCUGGUUGGGGUUGUUAUUGUACAUGUAGGCUUAUAAGGAAUGGCAAAGAGCACAUUCAAGGAAGAGCAUGACCUAGGUUUGGAUCCUACCUUUUUGUUCUCUUAGUUUUGUGUUUGAUUCUCAAGUAAACUUAUAACUUUUGGAUCUAAUGAUGAUUCUAUUUUCUGCCUUCAGAGAAAAGAAGUGUAGAGGCUGCUCGGAUUAGAGAGAAAUAUCCAGAUAGGAUUCCGGCGAGUGCUCAGUGUUUUACAUUACCUAAACACAUAUGUGAUUAGCAUAUUGUCUUCCUUUUCCAUGUUUGGACGAUCCCUUUGUGUUGCACUCAGCUUAAGCUCUUGUUAUGUUUCAUGGCCCAACAUCUAUAUCCUUUUUUUCUGUCUUGGGUGAUUAUGAACUUAUCAUAUCUUUGGCUAUAGUUUUGUAGAUAACAAUCUGGAUUUAUAUGUACUCCCAUUUAACAGUUGGUUAUUAACCUCUGAUUAGCCUCAUGCUUGUGAUAUUUUUAUAUUUGGGCACUGUAUCAACUCAACUACUGAACUUGUUUGAAUUCUAGUGUCAUAUUGGGAAGUGAUUAAUGAUUUUACAUGGUUACUUAAAAAGUAGUGACACUUGAGUGAUGAUCUUCACCCUUUUUUGUAUUUGUGUGGGAUCCGGGUGAUUGUUGAGAAGGGUGAGAAGAGUGAUAUACCAACCAUCGACAAGAAAAAUUAAGCAUAUUGAUUACUGUAAUCAAUAUACAUCUCCCUCGGACCUGACUUGUGAUUGACACAACUAAGCUUUUUAUCCUGGAUGCAGAUACCUAGUCCCAGCUGAUCUGACAGUGGGGCAGUUCGUGUAUGUCAUUCGCAAAAUAAUCAAACUGAGUGCAGAAAAGGCUAUCUUUAUCUUUGUCGACAAUGUUCUUCCUCCAACAGGUAGCACUGAUAAGCUCUUACUUACUGUGUAUUCAUGACUUCUUUAAUAUCAUCCUAAGACAUCUACUUUGAUAACUCUGGCAGGUGCGUUAAUGUCUGCUGUGUAUGAAGAGAAAAAGGAUGAUGAUGGUUUCCUCUAUGUCACUUACAGUGGAGAGAACACAUGUGGAUCUCCAUAGAGAUCUCUUGCUGGAUACUUCGUUUCUAUUUUACCUAUUUCGCCUGAGUAUUUCAUUUCUUAUUAUUAGUUAUCUAAGCAAAGCAGCCUAUGUACUACUUCUCUAAGAACUUUAAGAUGGCCGUUCAUGUGUACAGAGAACAUAAAAAUAAUGUAUAUAUAAUCUCAAAACCUACUUGAUUAUGUUUUCGAUUGACUUUCACUCAGUAAGCCGACAUAACAUGUUGCCGUGAGUGCCACUGUAGUUACAGAGGCAAAAAAGUCUUUAACUAAAUAGAACAGCAGUGGC